This is a non-coding RNA of Nicotiana tabacum (common tobacco), 6877 nucleotides long. NCBI's taxonomy places the organism in Eukaryota, Viridiplantae, Streptophyta, Magnoliopsida, Solanales, Solanaceae. The record is from RefSeq and is a predicted model, not a curated record.
GCCGGAGCUUGUGUACAGACACGGUGGAGUGAAAGUGUGACGGCGACGGCGUAUCAACGACGCCGUUUCGUACCUGAGGAAGAAAUGGUAAAGUUAGAAGCUUUUAGUGUUGUGUUUCAAUGGAGGAGUAGGGUUUUGAGUUGGGAGUUUGAAGUCACGGGAAAUGAGAUGAUUCCCAUGAAAGGAUAGAAAGACAGAGAAAAAGAGAGGAAUAUGUCUGUAAAAAGAUAGAAAGGAAAUUGUAAGGAAGGUGACAAAAGGGGCAACAGAACAAGAGGAAUAUUGCCUGUAAAUUUGAAAUGAACUUAUUUUAUAUUUGGUUGAGAUAAAAUAGUGGUAUAACUUAUCUCGGAUUAGUUAUCUUGGCAUUGUAGUAUUUUUUAUCCCUAUGAAAAUUCUAGAAUAAUUAAUUCCGGAAUAACUUAAUUCUCAACCAAACGACCCCUUAAUUCUGUGACACAAGGUAAAAUCUCAAUAGGAUAACUUCCUCCUAAUCGUUGUAACCAAACGAACCCUUAAUAUUUAAUUACAUAAUUCGGUGUAAAACUUAGAUGCAUUAUUCGUAACCUUUUACUAAUUCGGUAACUGAUGGGCUAGGUAAGACAAGUCUCAUUUUAAAUGACAUGCGCUUCUGACUUAUACUAUUUCUUCGCGUGCUGCGAGAGAUGUCGUUGGAUUUAUUUUUUUUGGUACAAAAGAUAAUAUUUAUAUAUAUUUAAGUACUGCGUACAGAGAGUGGCUGGUAUAGCCUUCCAUUACAAGUGGCUUUAGUGCCAUACUGUAAUAAGCUACUACUAGACGAAGCUACAUUAGUACUACUAUGUAUUAAGCUACUACUAAAGGAAGCUACAUUAAUACUACUACUACCAUUAACAUGCAGCAUAUUGUUUACAUAGGAACUGCUAAUAGAGCCAUGUGUUGUUUUGCUUAUAUUUACAUCCAAAAAGUGCUUCUUAUCAGCUUCCAAAGCUUGGUUCACAAAAAGUGGUGCCACAGGAUAGACAUACGGAUCACAAGUAUGAACAAAACAUUUGGCUGCCUUUGCUAGGUGGUCUGCUACAACAUUCUGCUCUCUGUACGCAUGUUGGACAGACGGAUUAUUAAGUUGGUGGAGGAGGUACCUGCAGUCAUUUAGCAUAUUGGCAAAUGGAAGGUUGUCAGUUUGCAACCAUGUAAUAAUAUGUUGAGCAUCUAACUCAACUUCAAUAGGUAUUAAAUUAUGUUGUAAGACCAAGUUAAAUCCUGUAAUUAAAGCAUAUAACUCCGUUGAUAGCGUCGAUCCCUUGUGGAUAGCUUGUGCAAACCCUAGUAUCCAUUCACCCUUUGAAUCUCGAAUUGAUCCUCCAAUUCCACUUGCAUUUGUGCCAUUGGCUUUAACUUAUAAUUGUUUUGCACAGGAGGUUGCCAUCCAAGGUUAGGCAAACACUUUUUCUUAGAUUUAUGAUAAUAGACUGUCAAAUAAGCAUACUUAGUAGCUUGGUAGGUUGUUAUGGAAACAUUAACUCUUUCCUUUAAUAAAUUAAAAUUAUUCUUGUUACGAGAAUGUUCCACAAGCUUAUAGGCAAGUAUGUUUUGGGGCUUAAAUUAUAAGGGAGGAUUAAAUUCUUAGAGCUAAUAAGAGUAUAUAAUCAAUUCUUAGUCCCUUGGAUGGUGCAUAUAUAUAUCAGUAGAUUUUUAAGUCCUAAUUCCUUCCAGUAUGCAGUAGCAUUUUCGCAAAGAAGGAAGAUAUGCCUAAUAUUUUCUUCAACAUUUUGGCAGUAAGUGCAAGUGUUGUUUUGAAUUAAAUGAAUAUUGGUGAGAUAAGCUUUGGUGGGUAAUCUAUCAUGGUAUAACAACCAUAGAAAAGCUUUUAUCUUGGGUAAGAUUGGUAGCUUCCAUAUCCAUGAAAAGUUAGAGGGAGGUGUUGGUGAAGUUGUGAAUUUGUCUACCAAAUUAUGGUACAUAGAGCGAGAUGUAAAAGUACCCGUUUGUGUUAAUCCCCAGUAUGGGAUGUCCGGAGUUUUGUGAAGUUGAGAAAUAUAAAUUUGCUGUAUUGGUUGUGUGAUAUCCUUUGGUAAUUCAAAAGGCAUUGCCUUCCAAUCCUAACCAGCAUUAUUUAGGAAAGAAGAUACUUUGAUGUUAUCUUGAUUUAGAGGAAGUGGUCCUUGGAUUAAGGAACGAAUUGUAAUUCUAGGAUUUAACCAAGGAUCAUUCCAGAAAUUAAUGUGUUGGCCUGUUUCAAUUUUCUAUUUUAACCUAUUUUGGCAUUGUUCCCAUCCUUUUAAAAUAUUAGACCAAAUCCUAGAGUAUUUAAAGCCCUUCUUUCUAGUCAAAUACUUAUUAAGGAGUACCUGAGCCCAUAAAGUGUUAGGUGAUUUAAAUACUCUCCAAGCUAAAUUAGCAAGGAGUGAUGAAUUUUUUAUGUCAAGCUUUUGAAUUCCUAAGCCUCCUAAAUCUUUUGAAGUAGUGAUGAUAUCCCAUUUUAGAAGGGGAAUUCUUUUCCCCAGAGGAAAUUCCGCUGGUAUUGAUUCAUUUUAGCAAUAAUUGUAGGUGGAAUGUUAAUAUAUUGCAUAAUAUGGUUAGGUAAGUUAUUUAAAGUUGAUUUUAUAAGCGUAGCUCUGCCUGCUAUUGUUAGGAACUUAGUUUUCCAGCCUGCAAGUCUAUUUUUAAAAUUAUCUAGCAGGAAUUGGAAAUUCUCCUUUUUUGGUUUCCCUUGGAACAUUGGAAAACCUAAAUAUUUUCCAAAUGAUAUGCCCUCUUUAAUACUAAAGGAGUCCGUAACAAAUUGUUUAUCUACCUGCUUGCAAUUUUUGGAGAAGUAAAUCUUCGAUUUGUCAAAGUUAAUUUGUUGUCCUGAAUGAUGCAUGAAUUGGUUUAAUACAUCAACCACUGCAUAACAACUUUUAGUAGUGACUUUUGAGAAUAAGAUAAUGUCAUCUGCAAAGAAUAAAUGUGAAAGUGUUGGUCCUUGUUUAGAGACCUUGAUAGUUUGCCAUUGGAGAUAUUCUAUACCUCUUGAAAUAUUAUGCGAUAACAUUUCCAUACACAUUAUAAAUAAGUAUGACGAUAAAGGAUCUCCUUGCCUUAUUCCUCUAGUAGGUGUAAAAUAAUGAGUUCUGGAUCCAUUAAUGAUGAUUGAUAUGGAAGAUGUAGUGAUGCAUGACAUAAUUAAAGAAACAAUAGGUUCUGAAAUAUUAAAAUAGUGAAGAGUUUGUUUGAUGAAAGACCAUUCCAGUCGAUCAAACGCCUUUUCUAAAUCCAACUUUAGGAUCAUGGCAGAAGACUUACCUUGCAUUUUUGUAAGAUAAUUUAGAGUUUCUUGAACUAUUAUGGCAUUAUCAGAAGCCCUUUUUCCUUGUUAAAACUUGUUUGUGUAGGUCCAAUUAUUUUAUUGACAAUAGGUUUAAGACGAUUAACAAUAAUUUUAGUUAUAAGCUUAUAUAGAGUAUUGCAAAGACUAAUGGGACGAAAUUGCUGUAUUAUAGAUGGAUACUUUAUUUUUGGUAUUAAACAGACUAGUGUUUUAUUCAAUUCUUCAGGAAUAACAUUAGUGAUGAAAAUUUCUUCACAAAAAUAAAUAACCUUACUUCUAACUUAUGCCCAGUAUCUUUGAUAAAAGAACGGGUGCAAACCAUCCGGACCUGGGAAUUUAUAAGGUUUAAAGCUAAACAUAGCUUCCUUUAUCUCCUCAUGGCUAAUUGGGGCACUAACCAAUUGAAUGUCAGUAUAAGACAUGUUCCAAGUACUAGGGUUCCAAUGAGAAUUAGCCGUACUUAUAUCUUUAGUGUUGAACAAAGAUUUAUAGUAUUGUAGGAUAAAAUUAUGUAGCUAGGAUGGUUCAUCAACCCAAUUUCCAACUGCGUCCUUUAAAGCAGUAAUUCUAUUCCUAUGUCUCAUAUGUAGAGUAGACAUAUGAAAAAACUUAGUAUUAGCAUCUCCAUCAUUUAUCCAAUUAAUGCGGGAUUUUAAUUUCCAAAAUUCUUCUUCAACACGUAAGAGGUUACUAUAGUCUAAAUUGAGUUGUAUUUCCAAGUUUUGAAGGAAUUGACUUGUAGGAUAAUGAACUGAUGCCUGUAUACCUCCUAGUCUAGCUAAAAUUUUCCUUUUUUCUUGGAAUAUGUUACCAAAAGUUUGCUUAUUCCAUCUAGUUGCUACUACCUGAAAAUUAUGAAUAGUUUCAAACAAAAGUUGUUCGUCAGACCAAAUAUUAUGAACUAAUUGUUGAAAAUGUGGGUGUGAAGCCCUCAUAGUUUCAAAGCGAAAAAUAUUAUGAUGUAUUGUUGUUGGGGGUUCUAAAGUAAUUAAAAGAGGGCAGUGAUCGGAAUGAGUACGAGGUAGAUGAUUAACUAGAACUUCAGGAUAUAGGUUCAACCAAUCAUAGUUAGCCAAAAACGAUCAAGUCGCUCUAGGAUUGUGUACCCAUGUCUACGUUUAUUAGUCCAAGUAUAUCUACUACCUUGAAAUCCUAAAUCAACUAACUUGCAAGUGUUAAUAAAAUUGCCAAAGUUAUCAGUUCUUCGAUUAUUAAUGGGAAGUCCACCAAACUUUUCUUUUGAUUCUAAAAUUUCAUUAAAAUCACCCCCAAUUAGCCAAGGCAUAGAAACAAUGUUAUGCAAAUUCAGUAGAUUAUACCACAGUAUAUCACGUAGUUGAUAAUAAGGGCUAGCAUAUAUUGCAGAUAAAAGUCAAGGUUGUUUAUUUGUACUUACCUGGACCACACAAUGGAUCUCUUGCUGAGAAAGCCUCAUUUCAGUAACAUUGAUACUAGCUUCAUUCCAUAAAACAAGUAAUCCACCUACGAGACCAUUAGAUGACACUUGUGACAUAUUAGUAAAAUUAAAGUCAUCACGAAGCCUAGUGUGAUCUUGCAUGUGAGUUUCUAGUAGAAUGGCUAACACUGGCCUGUGAUUAUCUAAGAGAGAUCGAAAAUGCCUAUGAAACUCAAGAUUGUGUGACCCCCUACAAUUCCAUACUAGGAAAUUCAUAUAAGAGUUAGGAGAGGUUAUCUCCCUCAUGGGAGGUGGAACCAUCAGACUGACUGCCUGAGUCAUCAUCUGACCUAGACUUAGAGAAGGAGUGAGCUGAAGUAGUGUGGGGAUGAUCACCAUCGCAUAUUUGCCUAUUUCUGGAUUUGUUGUUUGACGAAAAUUUAGACUGCAUUCAAUCAUUUCUGGGGGGCAUUUGAGAAUGAUUUUUUUCCGAACUGUUCUUUUAGGUUGUAAAAUUGAAUUCCCUUCAGCCACCAAAACUCCGUCCUCGUUGCCCUCAUUUCUGCUAGUAUCUCUGCUAAUUCUUGCCUUGUUCGAGUAUCUAGUGCGGGAGGAGAUUGAGGAGGGGUAUCUUGUGGACUCUCCUGUGGUGUAAGGUUCUCCAAGGGACUCAGUGGGCUCACAUAGGGAGAAAGAGGGUUGAAUGUGUCUAGUGCCUGAAACCAAGAGACAUAGAUUUGCCCCAUGUGAUGAGGAGGGUAGAAUGGAAGAAGUUGGAAGUUCUGAUUUCCUAAUGGAUUCAGAGGAGUUGGAGGGUACUGCCAGUGUGCUUAUGUUGAGGAGGAUGCCUGGAUCUCUAAGAACAAUGGGGUCUGAGUCGAGUACCAUUGGUUUUGGUUGUAAGACUCCAUUCCUAUCCUCAUUCCCUCUAUCACUAUCUCCGCUAGGUGAGUGGGAUUUUGAAUUAGCAACACAACUUCCUGGUUGUUUAACUCCAUUGUGAAUACUAGGGCAUAACCCUGCAGACCCAUCUCCAGCCAGGAUUGAAGGGGCUGAUCCAUAGACAUCUGUUGAGAUGUGUAGAUCAUCAGUAUGGAGAUGUGUGGAACCUGGGGGCCCUGCAUGAUCAACCUUGGUAGAUGGAAAAAGUGAUUGUUCACCUGCAUGUUCUCCCUGAAGUAUUGGUUUCGACUAUCGUUGAUGAAAGUUGGCCUCUGCAUUUUGUGUGGUCUCAGAGGAGGGAAGCAAUGGUGUUGUAUUUGUUAAAGGGUCUGUAUUAUUAUUAUCAAAAAGCUUAAGAGGCGGAACUAUCCAUGAAGACUUUAAUGGGAUAGAAUGAGUAAGAAUGGGUGAAUCACAUGGAUAAUAAUCAUUAUGUUUGCAUGGAUCAGCUUCAUUGCUAUCCCGAAUUAUUGUGGCAUGCAAAUUACUUGAAGAGUUAUUGGGUAAUGAGGAGGACGUGUCUAAGGGUGUGAUAACUAGAUGUAAUAAACCAUUUAGUGAUAGGUUCAUAUGAGGAGGUGGAGUGUUACGUGGAAAAUCCAUCCUAUGUGGAUUCUGUUGCUGAGGAAACGUGGUACAGUUCUGAGAAAGAUUUAUAGGCUUAGGUUGUGUAUCAGAUAAGGUAGAACUGGGUUGAGUAAUUUUUUGAUUGGGUAAAAAGGGGGGCUGUAAUAAUGAAGUGUUGGAAUGGUGUAAAGUGGUCUCAGUUUGCAUUGUUACUACUUUAUUAAGUGAACCAACUUGGUUAGGAUUACUAUUCAGUGGGCUUGAGUCCAUAUGAUCAGCAUGUGGUCCAUAUUGCCCAAUAAGAGGACUAAACAUAUUAGACAAAUCCUUAUUGGGCUUAGACAGCUCAUCUUCGUUUAACAGAAAGGAGGAGCCCAAAGAUGGGCCUUUAGGGUUUGAGGACUUACCUGGUAGCAGAUAUGCCGACGUUUGUUCCAGCGGCGGAGUAUUGGUGGGGCUGUUAUUCUGUCGUUGUUUAUAUGAAGAGUUGAAUCUUUUUGGAAAAACAACUGUUUUCCACUCUGGUUCAGGUUUGGCAGAAGUGGAUGGUUGAUUUGUUAUAGGAUUUUGUAUAGUUUGGUUAGGAGUUGGACAGUUCUGAAUUAUAUGACCUAGAUGGACGCAACUAGUGCAGAGUAUGUUGAUACCUUCGUAUAGGAGGAUUUGCUGUGAUUUCCUAU